This is a long non-coding RNA of Catharus ustulatus (Swainson's thrush), 1259 nucleotides long. RefSeq lists it as uncharacterized. The record is from RefSeq and is a predicted model, not a curated record. The transcript has 4 exons. Lineage: Eukaryota; Metazoa; Chordata; Aves; Passeriformes; Turdidae.
GCACAUCCCUUGGAACUGCUACUGUAUGAAAGCUGUAUCCUAGAGGUAGAACACAUGGUAUGGAAUAUGGCUGCUGCAUUGCUCCUGGGUGCCAUUGGACAGGUCAUGAGAAGCAGACGAGUGAGUGGUGAGUCUGUAUUUCAACUCUCGCAAAGGAAGCAUUCCCGAAGCUGUUGUCUCCUUGCUCCAGAAGGCCUCAAGCUGCCAUGAUUUCUGUGAACCUGUUCUACUGUGCAGUGAGGAUAGAUUCAGGGACCUUCUGAGCACCUGUUGCCUGUUGGGAUGGAAGCACCAUUUUCUCAGCACCACAGAAAUUAAGGAAAAAAAACCCGAGGAAACAAAUAAAUAUAAAACAACCCCAAGAAUAUCUAUGGGAAUUCAGUUGUGAGAGAAAUUUAAAGGAACUGGUGUUUUGUCUGGGAUUUCACAAUUUAAUAAUCUGUACAUUUAUUUUGUGAUACUUUGAAGGUCAUUUUUGAACCUUGCUAUAUUUGUACACUCUUGCAGUAUCAGCUUUUUCUUCUGUGAGUCGUUAAAUCUACCUCUUUCUCUUUGUGCCUUAAAUGUUCAGAUUUGACCCCAAAGUCUAAGUUGUGGAAACUGGCCAGGAAGUUCAAUGAUACAAUAAAGCAAUCCUUGGCGAACUUUUUUACUAAAUUUUUUUAAAAAUAUAUAUCUAUUUUUUAUUCAGCUGAACAACUGAAGUGUAAUGUGGUCAGUUAGAUCUUCACAGACACUGUGGCUGCUGUAUUUGUAGUGGGCAAGAUCUAAUAACCAAGAGAGGAUUUUUUACAUUUCAAUAUAUCCUCCUGAAUUCCAAGAGUAUUGUUUUAUAUCUUUGUCUGCAAAGACCUGUGUUACAGGAAUGAAAGAUCUCAUACUGCAAAAUGACUAGCCAGAAGGAGGUUUUUUUGUAUUACCUCCUGUGUUCCUUCCAGAUGAUCCCCACAAAUUUGAGUUUAGUUCAGUGUGUAAAUUAAGAUAAUAGUCUAUAGUGUGCUAAACUUUUAUGAUUUUGAGGGGGAAAAAAUAGUGUCUUCAGGUGGCAUACUAAGCUGGAGUUUCUGUGGAAGAAAGAAGACACAUUUAUCUUACUUUGGAUGUCUAAGUUAGUGUAUACAUAAGAUGCAAAAUGAUACUGCAAGAGGCAGUUUCUUCCUAAAACUGAUGAAACAGCUGGAAUAAUUCAAUGUUUAUUAUAUAAUUGACAGAGAACCAAGAAAUUGAAUCUGCUGAGAUUCCUAAGACAUUGUGCCAGU